UACGUAGGUGGCAAGCGUUGUCCGGAUUUACUGGGUGUAAAGGGCGUGUAGCCGGGCUGACAAGUCAGAUGUGAAAUCCGGGGGCUCAACCCCCGAACUGCAUUUGAAACUGUUGGUCUUGAGUAUCGGAGAGGCAGGCGGAAUUCCUAGUGUAGCGGUGAAGUGCGUAGAUAUUAGGAGGAACACCAGUGGCGAAGGCGGCCUGCUGGACGACAACUGACGGUGAGGCGCGAAAGCGUGGGGAGCAAACAGG
Molecule: ribosomal RNA, 253 nt
Filed under: uncultured bacterium
Lineage: Bacteria
Description: partial 16S ribosomal RNA
Rfam family: Bacterial small subunit ribosomal RNA
Source: RNAcentral